GAUGAACGCUGGCGGCGUGCCUAAUACAUGCAAGUCGAGCGAACAGACGAGGAGCUUGCUCCUCUGACAUUAGCGGCGGACGGGUGAGUAACACGUGGAUAACCUACCUAUAAGACUGGGAUAACUUCGGGAAACCGGAGCUAAUACCGGAUAACAUGUUGAACCGCAUGGUUCAACAGUGAAAGACGGUCUUGCUGUCACUUAUAGAUGGAUCCGCGCCGCAUUAGCUAGUUGGUAAGGUAACGGCUUACCAAGGCAACGAUGCGUAGCCGACCUGAGAGGGUGAUCGGCCACACUGGAACUGAGACACGGUCCAGACUCCUACGGGAGGCAGCAGUAGGGAAUCUUCCGCAAUGGGCGAAAGCCUGACGGAGCAACGCCGCGUGAGUGAUGAAGGUCUUCGGAUCGUAAAACUCUGUUAUUAGGGAAGAACAAAUGUGUAAGUAACUAUGCACGUCUUGACGGUACCUAAUCAGAAAGCCACGGCUAACUACGUG
RNAcentral lists this ribosomal RNA (497 nucleotides) under uncultured bacterium. RNAcentral's name for it is "partial 16S ribosomal RNA". It matches the Rfam family "Bacterial small subunit ribosomal RNA", at positions 28 to 507 of the family's 1533-position model. The record is from RNAcentral.